This 479-nucleotide ribosomal RNA is filed under the name Coleodactylus brachystoma. RNAcentral describes it as "partial 16S ribosomal RNA". It matches the Rfam family "Bacterial large subunit ribosomal RNA", at positions 1928 to 2620 of the family's 2925-position model. Lineage: Eukaryota; Metazoa; Chordata; Lepidosauria; Squamata; Sphaerodactylidae. The record is from RNAcentral.
CGGCCGCGGUAUCCUAACCGUGCAAAGGUAGCAUAAUAACUUGUCUCUUAAAUAGAGACUGGUAUGAACGGCUAAAUGAGGACCCGCCUGUCUCCUAAGACCAAUCAGUGAACCUGAUCUUUCAGUACAAACGCUGAAAUAUAACCAUAAGACGAGAAGACCCUGCGGAGCUUUAAAAACACCACACUACACCCAGGUGGCAUUUUUAAGUUGGGGCGACUGCGGAAACAAAACAAACUUCCACGACAAGGGCUUACCCCCCAAAAAAGAUACACAUAUCAACCAUCCACAUGACCCAGUACAACUGACCAACGAACCAAGUUACCCCAGGGAUAACAGCGCCAUCCUCUUAAAGAGCCCCUAUCGCCAAGAGGGUUUACGACCUCGAUGUUGGAUCAGGGCCCCCAAGUGGCGCAGCCGCUACUAACGGUUCGUUUGUUCAACGACUAACGCCCUACGUGAUCUGAGUUCAGACCGGA